UUUAAUUCCGAGGACGUGAAGUUAUGAAAAUGCCCUUAAACGGGACUAAGGGGCGUAAAAUAUGUUGUAACUUGAUGAUUUGGGGAUUGGGUAGGAACCCCACAUCCCUCAAAUCUCUCCCUCAUUCCCGUACCUUGUCUCUCUCUCUCCUCCCUCACAAAUCUCUCAUUCUCUCUGUAAGUUCUCUCUCUCUCUCUCUCUCCUUCGAACUCACACGGACCACCCACAAACCACCCCAAAACUAUACCAACGCAGGAUCUAAGACCACCAUCGUACUCCUGAGGACCACACGAACACGAUGGUACCAAUUUCAGCUUGUAGGAAGCUUGGUGAGGUCCUAAGGAAGCUCGGAGUGCUUCGUUUGAAGGAUUUGGACGUCGGGAUCACGAACUGUAAGUCCGGCCGAAUUUUCGUGAUUUUUGGAAAAGUUUGAUUCCGUUGUUUUUAGGCCCUAAAACUAGUCCAACGUGGUAGAUUAUGAUUAGGGCUUCAUUUUGGUAUAGAUUACAUGAAAAAUGGACGUAAGAACAAGGAGAAUGACAAGUUCAAAGUUUGGCCGGAGCUUUCGGGGCUUUUUCCGGCGAAUCCACGGCGAGUUAGGGGUCAAGGAAGAAAUUCCGGCAAAACACUAUUUCCGGCGAAACCAGUCCGGCGACGCGAGGAAGAAGACGCGCGCGUGGGCAGCGCGUGAACAGGGCGCGUGGGGGCGCGUGAGAGCUCCAAAUUGAGUUCUGAAAAUUGUCACGCGUUCGUGACGUCGUGUAGAUCACCGUGGUAUAUUUAUACACCCAAAUUGAGUAACGUAUGAGAAAGUUAUGGACGAAUGUUUGGUGUAUGCGCGUUAAAUAACGUCAAUUUGGUUACUUUUUGUAUAGGUGAAAAUUAUACAGAGGAAGAAUGUAACCAAGCUAGGGGAGGUUCAGGGACCUAUGAGACGUCGAUGUGAUCAAUUCAAGAAUUGCAAAGGUGUGGUGACUACGAGGAAAUUCAACGGUGUUCUGACAGAAUGGACCAAAUAAGGACUCAUCUUCGGGUGUUGUAUUUUAGAAGUUGUAUAUUUUAAAGCUUCCGAACUGUGCAAAUGGUUACGUCACUCUCACGUGACGGCCAGCAUGCCCUCCUUCGGGACGGGGUGUGUCAG
Pyrus x bretschneideri (Chinese white pear) is the source of this 1141-nucleotide long non-coding RNA. RefSeq lists it as uncharacterized. The record is from RefSeq and is a predicted model, not a curated record. Lineage: Eukaryota; Viridiplantae; Streptophyta; Magnoliopsida; Rosales; Rosaceae. The transcript is spliced from 4 exons.